This 432-nucleotide ribosomal RNA is filed under the name uncultured bacterium. Its description in RNAcentral is "partial 16S ribosomal RNA". It matches the Rfam family "Bacterial small subunit ribosomal RNA", at positions 29 to 506 of the family's 1533-position model. The record is from RNAcentral.
AACGAACGCUGGCGGCAGGCUUAACACAUGCAAGUCGAACGCACCUUUCGGGGUGAGUGGCAGACGGGUGAGUAACGCGUGGGAAUCUACCCUUCUCUACGGGAUAGCUCCGGGAAACUGGAAUUAAUACCGUAUACGUCCUGAGGGAGAAAGAUUUAUCGGGGAAGGAUGAGCCCGCGUUGGAUUAGCUAGUUGGUGGGGUAAAGGCCUACCAAGGCGACGAUCCAUAGCUGGUCUAAGAGGAUGAUCAGCCACAUUGGGACUGAGACACGGCCCAAACUCCUACGGGAGGCAGCAGUGGGGAAUAUUGGACAAUGGGCGCAAGCCUGAUCCAGCCAUGCCGCGUGAGUGAUGAAGGCCCUAGGGUUGUAAAGCUCUUUCAGUGGGGACGAUAAGGACGGUACCCACAGAAGAAGCCCCGGCUAACUUCGU